CCUACGGGAGGCAGCAGUGGGGAAUAUUGGGCAAUGGGCGCAAGCCUGACCCAGCAACGCCGCGUGAAGGAAGAAGGCUUUCGGGUCGUAAACUUCUUUUAAGAGGGAAGAGCAGAAGACGGUACCUCUUGAAUAAGCCACGGCUAACUACGUGCCAGCCGCCGCGGUAAUACGUAGGUGGCACGCGUUGUCCGGAUUUACUGGGUGUAAAGGGCGUGCAGCCGGGAAGAAAAGUCAGAUGUGAAAUCCCGCGGCUCAACCGCGGAACUGCCUUUGAAACUGUUUGUCUUGAGUAUAGGAGAGGUCAGCGGAAUGCAUGGUGUAGCGGUGAAAUGCGUAGAGAUAAGGAAGAACACCAGUGGCGAAGGCGGAUGACUGGGCGGCAACUGACGGUGAGGCGCGAAAGCGUGGGGAGCAAACAGGAUUAGAUACCCGUGUAGUC
RNAcentral lists this ribosomal RNA (442 nucleotides) under uncultured bacterium. Its description in RNAcentral is "partial 16S ribosomal RNA". It matches the Rfam family "Bacterial small subunit ribosomal RNA", at positions 338 to 795 of the family's 1533-position model. The record is from RNAcentral.